GCUUAGGGAAAGGAAGGGAAAGGAGUCAAGCAUAAUGACAGACAAGCACCACCCCUGCCUGUUGUGAGGAUGAGAGAUUGGCAGCUCAGGGACUACCACUGCUCAUUAGGAUCCCAGGGAGGAAUUUCAUUCCCUACCUUGGAAGAGUAUAAAAGACCCUUUGUCUGGGUUAAAUAGAAGACUGACGGUGUGAUGGAGUGUGUACUGCAGUUCGGCUCACCAGGUAUGCUGAUUUGAGCUCCUUCUCUUCUUUCUUGUAUGAGCCACAUUCAUAAUGGAUCCAAU
Molecule: long non-coding RNA, 285 nt
Filed under: Homo sapiens (human)
Lineage: Eukaryota; Metazoa; Chordata; Mammalia; Primates; Hominidae
Description: PREDICTED lncRNA (TCONS_00240505)
Source: RNAcentral